Molecule: ribosomal RNA, 372 nt
Filed under: uncultured bacterium
Lineage: Bacteria
Description: bacterial SSU rRNA
Rfam family: Bacterial small subunit ribosomal RNA
Source: RNAcentral
ACAGAGGGUGCGAGCGUUAAUCGGAAUUACUGGGCGUAAAGCGUGCGUAGACGGUUAUCUAAGUCGGGUGUGAAAUCCCCGGGCUCAACCUGGGAAUUGCAUUCGAGACUGAAUAGCUAGGGUUCGGAAGAGGGAAGCGGAAUUUCCGGUGUAGCGGUGAAAUGCGUAGAUAUCGGAAGGAACAUCAGUGGCGAAAGCGGCUUCCUGGUCCAGAACCGACGUUCAGGCACGAAAGCGUGGGGAGCAAACAGGAUUAGAUACCCUGGUAGUCCACGCCAUAAACGAUGACAACUAGACGUUGAGAGGGUUUGCCUCCCAGUGUCGAAGCUAACGCGUUAAGUUGUCCGCCUGGGGAGUACGGCCGCAAGGUUG